Molecule: ribosomal RNA, 505 nt
Filed under: uncultured bacterium
Lineage: Bacteria
Description: partial 16S ribosomal RNA
Rfam family: Bacterial small subunit ribosomal RNA
Source: RNAcentral
GACGAACGCUGGCGGCGUGCCUAAUACAUGCAAGUAGAACGCACAGUUUAUACCGUAGCUUGCUCCACCAUAGACUGUGAGUUGCGAACGGGUGAGUAACGCGUAGGUAACCUGCCUGGUAGCGGGGGAUAACUAUUGGAAACGAUAGCUAAUACCGCAUAAUAUUAAUUAUUGCAUGAUAAUUAAUUGAAAGGUGCAAUUGCACCACUACCAGGUGGACCUGCGUUGUAUUAGCUAGUAGGUGAGGUAACGGCUCACCUAGGCGACGAUACAUAGCCGACCUGAGAGGGUGAUCGGCCACACUGGGACUGAGACACGGCCCAGACUCCUACGGGAGGCAGCAGUAGGGAAUCUUCGGCAAUGGACGAAAGUCUGACCGAGCAACGCCGCGUGAGUGAAGAAGGUUUUCGGAUCGUAAAGCUCUGUUGUAAGAGAAGAACGGGUGUGAGAGUGGAAAGUUCACACUGUGACGGUAUCUUACCAGAAAGGGACGGCUAACUACGUG